ACAAACUUGGUCAUUUAGAGGAAGUAAAAGUCGUAACAAGGUUUCCGUAGGUGAACCUGCGGAAGGAUCAUUAAUGAAUGAAAUUGAGUGGGGUUGUAGCUGGCCUUUCACGGGCAUGUGCACACCUCAUUCAACCACCUUCUACACCUCUGUGCACUUCUCAUGGGUUGGGCUGCGUCUGAAAUAUGACAAAGUUCCUUCCUGUGUGUUUUUAUACAAACAAAUAAUGUUAUAGAAUGUCACUAUCAUGCUUUAAAGCAUAUAAUACAACUUUCAACAACGGAUCUCUUGGCUCUCGCAUCGAUGAAGAACGCAGC
Molecule: unclassified non-coding RNA, 317 nt
Filed under: uncultured fungus
Lineage: Eukaryota; Fungi
Description: partial contains small subunit ribosomal RNA, internal transcribed spacer 1, and 5.8S ribosomal RNA
Rfam family: Eukaryotic small subunit ribosomal RNA (bases 1-73)
Source: RNAcentral